This 253-nucleotide ribosomal RNA is filed under the name uncultured bacterium. RNAcentral's name for it is "partial 16S ribosomal RNA". It matches the Rfam family "Bacterial small subunit ribosomal RNA", at positions 524 to 776 of the family's 1533-position model. The record is from RNAcentral.
UACGAAGGGUGCAAGCGUUACUCGGAAUCACUGGGCGUAAAGCGUGCGUAGGCGGUUCGUUAAGUCUGUUGUGAAAGCCUUGGGCUCAACCUGGGAACUGCAGUGGAUACUGGCGAGCUAGAGUACGGUAGAGGAAGGUGGGAUUCCCGGUGUAGCGGUGAAAUGCGUAGAGAUCGGGAGGAACACCAGUGGCGAAAGCGGGUCUCUGGGCAUUUCCUGACGCUGAGGCGCGAAAGCGUGGGGAGCAAACGGG